AAUUGUGAUUUGGUAUAACCAUGAUUUUUGAUGUUUCAGGUAAAGACAGGUGAUGAAAAUUAUCUUCGUCCUAGGUGCGAAGAGGAAUUUAGAAUCACAAUUAUGAUUAUGAGUUAUUCACAUGAUUGUGGACAGGAAUUGUUGAUUGAUGUUACAGGAAUAAAACAUUGUUGGUGGACUUUUAAUAUGGAGAAGAUAAUAGACCUUAUGGUCUAUUUGACUCUUCUAAUGGAUUGCUC
This 239-nucleotide long non-coding RNA is filed under the name Panax ginseng (ginseng). RNAcentral describes it as "long non-coding RNA (PGIN_LNC002850)". Lineage: Eukaryota; Viridiplantae; Streptophyta; Magnoliopsida; Apiales; Araliaceae. The record is from RNAcentral.